AUAGCCCAACCAAUAAUGGGAAAGAGAAAUAUUGCGGUCUUGCUAAUGAACUUAAAGCUUCUGCCAAGGGUAAGAAGUGUAUAUAUGUCUAGAAAGCUCUGAUGGUUGGAAACAAACACUGCCGGAGAAUUUGGAGAGGGCAAAUUCUCCAACCCUUCAUAUUUGAUCCUAAAAAACGGAGCAAUAGUCAGACUUGCCCACAUUUUGGCAAUUGAAUAAUGAAUUCUUCUGCGGUAUCUAUCCAUCAAUA
Molecule: unclassified non-coding RNA, 250 nt
Filed under: Hevea brasiliensis (rubber tree)
Lineage: Eukaryota; Viridiplantae; Streptophyta; Magnoliopsida; Malpighiales; Euphorbiaceae
Source: RNAcentral